This 465-nucleotide ribosomal RNA is filed under the name Vreelandella stevensii. RNAcentral's name for it is "partial 16S ribosomal RNA". It matches the Rfam family "Bacterial small subunit ribosomal RNA", at positions 338 to 795 of the family's 1533-position model. The record is from RNAcentral. Lineage: Bacteria; Pseudomonadati; Pseudomonadota; Gammaproteobacteria; Oceanospirillales; Halomonadaceae.
UCUACGGGGAGCUGCAGUGGGGAAUAUUGGACAAUGGGCGAAAGCCUGAUCCAGCCAUGCCGCGUGUGUGAAGAAGGCCUUCGGGUUGUAAAGCACUUUCAGUGGGGAAGAAAGCCUUGGGGCUAAUACCCUCGAGGAAGGACAUCACCCACAGAAGAAGCACCGGCUAACUCCGUGCCAGCAGCCGCGGUAAUACGGAGGGUGCGAGCGUUAAUCGGAAUUACUGGGCGUAAAGCGCGCGUAGGCGGUCUGAUAAGCCGGUUGUGAAAGCCCCGGGCUCAACCUGGGAACGGCAUCCGGAACUGUCAGGCUAGAGUGCAGGAGAGGAAGGUAGAAUUCCCGGUGUAGCGGUGAAAUGCGUAGAGAUCGGGAGGAAUACCAGUGGCGAAGGCGGCCUUCUGGACUGACACUGACGCUGAGGUGCGAAAGCGUGGGUAGCAAACAGGAUUAGAUACCCCGGUAGUC